Leptonychotes weddellii (Weddell seal) is the source of this 934-nucleotide long non-coding RNA. RefSeq lists it as uncharacterized. NCBI's taxonomy places the organism in Eukaryota, Metazoa, Chordata, Mammalia, Carnivora, Phocidae. The record is from RefSeq and is a predicted model, not a curated record.
AGCAGCGGCAGCGAGCGCUGAUGCAAACGACAGCCGCCGUUGCCAGCGCCCGCUCGCUAACGGGGCCGGCGGCCCGGGGGGACCUGCGGCUGCCAAAGGCCACAAGCAUCUCUGUCUCUCUCUCUCAGCCACCCUCUCCUGCGCCCCAGAGAGGCUGGUACUGUAAGGCUGCUGUGCCACGGGAAGACGUGAAAUGAACUUUCCCCUUUUAAAGGCUUUGGUAACUUCUGAGGCCUCCGCUGUAUCCUUUUUUGAUGGUGUGACAGCCCAGUGAAGUGCAUCAGGUUCACCCCACUCCAGGCUCCGUGGGGAGGGCCUGAUGGGGUCUCAACCAGCGGCCACAGACUUCAGCUUCCAUCCGAAGCACCUGGAGGCCUUAUUCAAACAGGGAUGGCUGGGCCCCACCCCAGAGGUCCUGAUUCAGCAAAUCCGGGGUGGGGCCUGAAGAUCUGUAUUUAUAACAAGUGCCCAGAUGAUGCUAAUGCCAUUGGUGAGGGAACACACUUUGAGAAGCACCGUUCUAAACCCAUCAGCAUAACUUUCCUCCCUCAGCCUCUGUGACUGAUUCGAGGGCCUCAACCCAUCGGCCCGGGGCCUUGUCCUGGCCACAUGGAUGGGAUGCUCCAGCCCUAAGCCUAUGACUCAGGUCUGUCCGGUUACAAUGACGCUCAGGACUUCUGCUUCAUUAGAAAGGCACCCUCUUGGAAGCAAUGUGCUAUAUGGACCUUGGACCAGAACUCGUACAGUGAUUGUACCACAACAACAGAAGCCGAUUUGAAGACCAACGGAGUCCUAGAGAAGUGGACGUUGAGAGAUUCGGAGAGAUGGCACCCAAACUUGACCUUCAGCCCACCUGGAGGUCGGCUUCUCCCGCAAGUGCUGGUUCUGUAGGCCUUCUCACUUACCUGAGCCAAUAAAUUCUCCUUGUUGGGUA